RNAcentral lists this transfer RNA (81 nucleotides) under Myxococcaceae bacterium. RNAcentral's name for it is "tRNA-Arg". Lineage: Bacteria; Pseudomonadati; Myxococcota; Myxococcia; Myxococcales; Myxococcaceae. The record is from RNAcentral.
UGGACGCCUUGAUCGGCGCCGACCUCGCGCCGUGCGGCGGCGCCGAGAUCCCGGGCGAGAUCGUCGCUCGCGGCGCUCGGC